Molecule: long non-coding RNA, 797 nt
Organism: Ananas comosus (pineapple)
Lineage: Eukaryota; Viridiplantae; Streptophyta; Magnoliopsida; Poales; Bromeliaceae
Exons: 3
Source: RefSeq, a predicted model, not a curated record
CGUGCAUUUUCACCAAUCUUUUAUCAGAUUGGGCCUGAUCAAGCCCGCACAAGUAAUUACAGAUCAGUGUUUGGGCCUUCGCCCAACAAAGAGACGCUACUGAGGCAUCCUUUUGAUUUUCUCUGUUCCCGCUGCGUUCUCUCGUAUCCCCUAAUCCCCUUCGAUUGCUCGAAUCCUUCACGCGAUUCCUCCUUUCGUCAAAACCCUAGAGCGAACCUCUUUCCCUUCCGAUCGCCCGAUUCCUCCAAUCGAGAAACUGUACGGGCUAAAACCCUAGGGCGACCCCCCUCGGCUCCCUCCUCUCCUCUCUUAUCGCCCAAUUCCUUCAAUCGAUAAACCGUAGAGCGUAUCCGAUUAGAUUGCUCUAUCAUUGGUGGGGGAGAUUACUUCUAAUUGGAGCUAGGGUUCUAAUCGGAAGAGUAUUUUCUUGCAGAGUAUGCAAUCGAGUCCGAACGAGUUUCAGGAGGCUGCAUGUUUCGAUAAUGAGACCAGAGAGGAUACCAUUGCGCUGCUGGAUCAGAUGAAUAUAUCUAACGUGGAACGCCGACAUGGUUAAGGCUGGAGAUGGUAAGCUGUUUAAAGUUUAUAUAGACAUGGAGGUCUUGCUUGUGCGAAAUCAGAUGCAUCCGGCCAGGGUACAUCAAUUGCAAGCUAAUCUAUUGUAAAAUAGAUAUAAUUAGUCCGUCCAGUACCGGCACAUUUAAAGUAUAGAAUUUGAGUUUGAAGAAAAAAGACAGAGGUGGCACAAAACAAAGAGCCGUCUCUUGACGUGCUUCUUAAUUCCACUCACCGUGGAA